RNAcentral lists this ribosomal RNA (253 nucleotides) under uncultured bacterium. RNAcentral's name for it is "partial 16S ribosomal RNA". It matches the Rfam family "Bacterial small subunit ribosomal RNA", at positions 524 to 776 of the family's 1533-position model. The record is from RNAcentral.
UACGGGGGGAGCAAGCGUUGUUCGGAUUUACUGGGCGUAAAGGGCGCGUAGGCGGCGCAACAAGUCACUUGUGAAAUCUCCGGGCUUAACCCGGAGCGGCCAAGUGAUACUGUCGUGCUAGAGUGCGGAAGGGGCUACUGGAAUUCUCGGUGUAGCGGUGAAAUGCGUAGAUAUCUGGAGGAACACCGGUGGCGAAGGCGGCAUCCUGGACCAACACUGACGCUGAGGAGCGAAAGCCAGGGGAGCAAACGGG